RNAcentral lists this ribosomal RNA (566 nucleotides) under uncultured bacterium. RNAcentral describes it as "bacterial SSU rRNA". It matches the Rfam family "Bacterial small subunit ribosomal RNA", at positions 338 to 915 of the family's 1533-position model. The record is from RNAcentral.
CCUACGGGAGGCAGCAGUGGGGAAUAUUGGACAAUGGGCGCAAGCCUGAUCCAGCAAUGCCGCGUGAGUGAUGAAGGCCUUAGGGUCGUAAAGCUCUUUUACCAGGGAUGAUAAUGACAGUACCUGGAGAAUAAGCUCCGGCUAACUCCGUGCCAGCAGCCGCGGUAAUACGGAGGGAGCUAGCGUUGUUCGGAAUUACUGGGCGUAAAGCGUACGUAGGCGGUUAUUCAAGUCAGAGGUGAAAGCCCGGGGCUCAACCCCGGAACGGCCUUUGAAACUAGGUAGCUAGAAUCUUGGAGAGGUCAGUGGAAUUCCGAGUGUAGAGGUGAAAUUCGUAGAUAUUCGGAAGAACACCAGUGGCGAAGGCGACUGACUGGACAAGUAUUGACGCUGAGGUACGAAAAGCGUGGGGAGCAAACAGGAUUAGAUACCCUGGUAGUCCACGCCGUAAACGAUGAUAAACUAGCUGUCCGGGCACUUGGUGCCUGGGUGGCGCAGCUAACGCAUUAAAGUUAUCCGCCUGGGGAGUACGGUCGCAAAGAUUAAAAACUCAAAAUGAAUAGAGG